UACGAAGGGUGCAAGCGUUAAUCGGAAUUACUGGGCGUAAAGCGUGCGUAGGCGGUUGGCUAAGUCUGUCGUGAAAGCCCUGGGCUCAACCUGGGAAUGGCGAUGGAUACUGGCGAGCUAGAGUGUGAUAGAGGAUGGCGGAAUUCCCGGUGUAGCGGUGAAAUGCGUAGAGAUCGGGAGGAACAUCCGUGGCGAAGGCGGCAUCCUGGACCGAGAUCGACGCUGAGGCGCGAAAGCUAGGGGAGCAAACGGG
Molecule: ribosomal RNA, 253 nt
Filed under: uncultured bacterium
Lineage: Bacteria
Description: partial 16S ribosomal RNA
Rfam family: Bacterial small subunit ribosomal RNA
Source: RNAcentral